RNAcentral lists this long non-coding RNA (314 nucleotides) under Spirodela polyrhiza (greater duckweed). RNAcentral's name for it is "long non-coding RNA (SPOL_LNC002044)". Lineage: Eukaryota; Viridiplantae; Streptophyta; Magnoliopsida; Alismatales; Araceae. The record is from RNAcentral.
UAUUGCCUUCUCCAGUACUUUCAUCGCGCUCUCCAUCGUCGGAGGUUAGAUACUAUAGGAUUUGGGAAUAGAGUUGAGAGGGUAAGUCCUUUUUUUUUAGAACCGUACUUGUAUCAUUGCUACGAACCAGCGUGGGUGCUAGCGGCUAGUAUCCGUGCCCUCUAUCGACAUUCGAGUUGUUUUAUCGGGUCAUUGGAGGUUUGAUAUACCCCUAGAUCCAUGCUCGUUAGACUAAUCGGGACUCGCCCUAGGUCUGUGGCUUAUCUUGUAUCUUACAUUUAUUUUCGUGAUUUUUUUCAUAUAUAUAUAUAUAU